AUUGUGACAUGUUAAACAAAAACGACCCGGCAGGUGUACGCUGCCGGGCGUUUUGUAUGGGC
RNAcentral lists this small RNA (62 nucleotides) under Salmonella enterica subsp. enterica serovar Typhi str. 404ty. RNAcentral describes it as "Salmonella enterica sRNA STnc310". It matches the Rfam family "Salmonella enterica sRNA STnc310". Lineage: Bacteria; Pseudomonadati; Pseudomonadota; Gammaproteobacteria; Enterobacterales; Enterobacteriaceae. The record is from Rfam by way of RNAcentral.